Molecule: ribosomal RNA, 406 nt
Filed under: uncultured bacterium
Lineage: Bacteria
Description: partial 16S ribosomal RNA
Rfam family: Bacterial small subunit ribosomal RNA
Source: RNAcentral
AUUGAACGCUGGCGGCAGGCCUAACACAUGCAAGUCGAACGAGUGGCGGACGGGUGAGUAAUGUCUGGGAAACUGCCUGAUGGAGGGGGAUAACUACUGGAAACGGUAGCUAAUACCGCAUACCAUCGGAUGUGCCCAGAUGGGAUUAGCUAGUAGGUGGGGUAAAGGCUCCACUAGGCGACGAUCCCUAGCUGGUCUCAGAUGAUGACCAGCCACACGGGAACUGUGACACGGUCCAGACGCCUACGGGAGGCAGCAGUGGGGAAUAUUGCACAAGGGUGGCAAGCCUGAUGCAGCCAUGCCGCGUGUAUGAAGAAGGCCUUAGGGUUGUAAAGUACUUUCAGUGGGGAGGCGUUACCCGCAGAAGAAGCACCGGCUAACUCCGUGCCAGCAGCCGCGGUAAUUC